UAUCGGUCCUCUCGCAAUGAGCAACUGUAAACCCCGCCAGGCCCGGAAGGGAGCAACGGUAGCAGUGACCUCAUGUGCCGGGAUGUGGCUGAUAGGG
This 97-nucleotide signal recognition particle RNA is filed under the name Umboniibacter marinipuniceus. RNAcentral describes it as "Bacterial small signal recognition particle RNA". It matches the Rfam family "Bacterial small signal recognition particle RNA". Rfam says of the family: The signal recognition particle (SRP) is a universally conserved ribonucleoprotein involved in the co-translational targeting of proteins to membranes. RNAcentral also lists the same sequence under 1 other name. Lineage: Bacteria; Pseudomonadati; Pseudomonadota; Gammaproteobacteria; Cellvibrionales; Cellvibrionaceae. The record is from Rfam by way of RNAcentral.